This is a long non-coding RNA of Glycine soja, 3250 nucleotides long. RefSeq lists it as uncharacterized. The transcript has 2 exons. The record is from RefSeq and is a predicted model, not a curated record. NCBI's taxonomy places the organism in Eukaryota, Viridiplantae, Streptophyta, Magnoliopsida, Fabales, Fabaceae.
AUAACGGAAGGGGAAUGGGCGUUCACAGCAGUUAGGUUUUGGGUGAAGUGGAGGAGAUUAAACAGAGGUUUCAUCAAUUCUGAUUCUCUGACCGCCAGAACAUGGUGUUUUUUCUGUUCCCUAAUGCUUCGUUAGAACCCGAAAUGAAGAUGGUGAUAGGUUGAGUGCACUUUCAGCUUGUCUUCUUCACAUUCUUUCAUUCUUGGACACAAAACCAGAUGGAUAAACCUUUUUCUUUCACUUCCCUAUAUUGACUUAUGUUUCUCUUUAACGGAUCAUCUGAGACUCUAGUUUCUUUACAUCUAAACCUUCCUUUGGGUUGGAAUGCUCCUAGAAUUUGUUUGGUUGCCGAAUCUCAGGACUCUUUGGUUGGCUUCAUUCAGAUUGGUGGACGAGAAUUCUAUUCCGAGGAUUCUCCAAGUCUUCCCUUCGCUUGAACAUCUGGUGUUAAUUCUGCAGUCUUUGAACGAGAAUGAGAAUGAGAGUCAGAGUGAAGGUGUCCAAGUUGAAAGUCUUUGCAUCUCGAUCCCCUCAUUGAAAUGGUUCGAGCUUUGUUCCGAUGAACAGGAGUUCAAUGUUGUUGUGAAGGCAGAAAAUCUUGUCAACUUUGUAUGCGAUCUUGAGGGAUUGCACAAGGUUACCUUAGAUGCCCUAAACCUGAAGUCCUUGACAGUUAUGGGUGAUGUUCUUCAAGUUCACAUAACUAAAAGCCUAUUCUCUAUUGAAGAGGCAGUGAUAGAAGCAGAACUUUGUUUCUAUUUGACAAGUGUGUGUGACUUGGUUUUACGUUCUCAAUAUGUUUUUUUUUUCUUUUGUUUUUUAGCAGGUUGCAACAUGUGAAAUUACUCAGUUUGUCAGAGAACAUUAUGAAGGUGUAUUUCUUUUCGCCUGUCUGGUUUAAUUUGGCCUGUCUUCCAAGUCUUUCCUCCAUGUUUUAACAGUUGAAGUGGAACUAUGUUGUUAUAUAAUUUUGUUGUUAUAUGUGUGAAGGCUCUCUAUGUUUCUUCAAUGACAAUACCAACUUCCAGGAACUUGGUCAAGCUAGAGCUUAUCCCUGACUAUUGCCCUGAUUUUCGCCGUAGCUGCAUCUCACAUGUGUUAUUGAAAUUGUUUGAAAGUGCUUAUCUUCAAUGAGGUAAGUUGUGUUGGAUAUUUUGGUGUGCAGAUUAUUUGUUAUUCAUUUUCAGGUCCCGUACAUACUUUAUAUGUACGGUGUUCGACAACCACUUUGGCGAAGAUGGCAAAGUUGAUUCUAUUUUUCUGCGGGUUCUUCCACUAUCUUGUGUUGCACAUCUUAAGGUAAUAGAAAUUACUAGUUUUAAAGAUAGAUAACUUGAAUUCAAGCUGGUGGAAUAAUUUUUAAAGAACGGAAAAUCUCUGGAAAAGAUUGGUCUUGGUAGAGAAGGUUGGAAGUUUGUACCAAAACAUCGCAAGAGGAUACUCUCCCACGAGAAGUGCUCUGGUUGUCAGAUUGUAUUCAGAAAUACAAGAUUUUAUAAAAAAAAAAAAAAAAAAACACCACAAUUACGAUGAGUCUAUCUCCUUAAGUUUCAUGGGUAUAACACCUUAGAGCUAAAAAAAAUUUGUGUAAAAGUGUUCUGUUCAGAUAUUUAGUAUUAAUGCACCAUGGAAAUGGAUGACUAGGACUAGAUCUGCAGUUUAAUGAGAAUCUUCAACAAUAACUUUAAUAGAUCUAAAUUUGGUUAAAGUGUGAUUGGGAAUCUUAUGUGACUGCAACUGCUAGUGUCUUUGGUUCAGGUGAUUAGUUCAUUGUUUAAUUCCUUCUCUUGAAAUAUGCUGUUUUAUGGGACAUGAUAGUUUGGGAGAAAUUGUUUAUGAAGUAUGGUGAAAGAUACUAUAUUGAACAUGAGAUAUUGACAAUGAUUGGCCAUAUAGGUCGAUGUACCUACACUUUCAAGAUGUUUUAAUUGAAGCUUAUCAUUUGAGUGACAUGAACAUAGGAUUUUGUAAUUGUGAGGAGUUCAUUGUUUUAGUCUUCUCAUCUUUAUGAUGCUACUAGUACUCCAUUACUCUUAAGUUGAUGACUGUCAGAAUUAAAAAUGUUGACCGUAUGUUCGUUGGAACUUCUUAUUGUUAUCUUUUAAGUACAUGCUUAAUUGUGGAAGAUGUUCCCAAUUUCUCUUCAUGCAACUCCUAAUCUUAAAUUGUGUGUCUUUCCUCCAAUUACUCAUAAUUACUGUUAGGAUAUAGAAUUAAUACAAACAUCUGCUGCACUAACUAAUUUUAGUAAUCAUGUAUGUGAUUAGGAUCGUCCUCAGAGCAAUAAGAGAGUUUUAGUUUUUUUAUGCCAAAGGCUAUAUAAGUAGGUUUCUGUAAAGUGUAAACAUCAUAAAAAGACUGAUUAUCAUUUAUGUUUUUACCGUCUUGAAACAUGGUAUGAUUAUCAAUGUGGUAUUACGUAUGUAGGCUUUUAUCAGGCCUAUUGGAGCUGGCAGUUUUAUCUAUGGUUCUCUUUGUAUUAGCCUCAAAACGGUUUAGAAUGAAGAGGUACCUCCUUUUUGUCUCUGAAUAAGUAGUAUCCGAUGUUAUGUUAUGUUAUCAUGGAAUACAUACAAAUUGUGCCUUCUACUUCUAAUGAACUUAAUGAAUCUUGUUACAUGACAAUUGUUCUUAUGAUAAUUGUUUAGUGUAUGCUCUCGGUUAAUGGACCAUUCCUCUAAGUACUCACUAGUACAGUUUGGUAGCAACUAUUGAGGAGUCUUGUGGCAACUUUUAGCUUAUUAGAUGGGCAGCAAGCAGUACAUCUUUUAGUUCAAUGACAUAAUAGAUGAUUUUUUGUGCCUCCAUUUCUCCCUACUUCAUUUCUUCCCGGUCUGUCCAUGCCAGCAACAAUCCAACCAAGCAAUUAGAAUACAAUUGCAAGUAGAAAAGAACUAAACUUCAGCAAGAAUACGCAUUGGAACUUCUAGCUUUGAAGCUGCAAAAUCAGUAUCCACUGGGAUCAAAGAAUUAGGAGGCAGUUUUGAGAGCAAAGGUGAUGAUGAUGAUGACAAUCAUGAUUAAUGAUGUGUUGGUAUAUGUUCGAUGAAUCUCAAAGAGUGCUAGUUAUAUUUGUACCAAUGAUGUUGUGUCAAUUGGAUAAAAGAGAAUUAAUUUGUAAAUUUACUAGUUUUAUCAUUGGAUUGUAUUGGGGGAAUUCUCCAACACAUAACAUGGAUAAAAAAAAUAUGGUAACAAAAAAAAAAACACUACCAAUAGAUAUAUGAUUGGUUUAUUGUAGUUCAACUCA